AUGGUUCCGACAAUUGUCGUUUGGGGUCAGGCGAGUGAACGCUUUUGUCCGCUUUUGUUUUGGGUCAGUAUGGCAUCCAACACGAGCUUACCCACAACCAGAGUUGUUGGGGCUUCGCCGGCCGAGACGAACGACGCCUGCGAGGCCGAGCGCCACCACGGAGGAGCUCUUGCUCCUGGUCUGCCCAUCGAUUGUCUGGGUGGUGGUGGAGCCUCCGACGGAUGCACCCGCCAUGGCCGAGGUGUUGUGGGGGCACCGGGGUCAUGUACCUCCGAGAAACACCUAGGCCGAGGUGCUACAGAAGAACACUGUCGGUGGGGGGUGCGACACGAGCGGCGAACUGCUACACCUGUCGUUUGGCGCGACGGCAAGCAAGCGGAGCUCACGACUGUGUCUGGUGCACCGUGCACGGCGGCUUGGACGUGCGCGGGGGCGGGGUCCCCGAGCUGCACCACAGACCGGGUGUUUCUCGGCGAUACCUAG
Molecule: ribosomal RNA, 483 nt
Filed under: Triticum aestivum (bread wheat)
Lineage: Eukaryota; Viridiplantae; Streptophyta; Magnoliopsida; Poales; Poaceae
Description: partial small subunit ribosomal RNA
Source: RNAcentral